CUAGGAAUCUUGGGAAUGGGCGAAAGCCUGACCCAGCAACGCCGCGUGGGCGAUGAAGGCCUUCGGGUCGUAAAGCCCUUUUGUGGGGGAAGAUGAUGACGGUACCCCACGAAUAAGCCACGGCUAACUACGUGCCAGCAGCCGCGGUAAUACGUAGGUGGCAAGCGUUGUCCGGAUUUACUGGGCGUAAAGGGCGUGCAGGCGGUUCGUUAAGUUCGAGGUGAAAGCUCCCGGCUCAACUGGGAGAGGUCCUUGGAUACUGGCGGACUUGAGGGUGGCAGAGGAAAGUGGAAUUCCCGGUGUAGUGGUGAUAUGCGUAGAUAUCGGGAGGAACACCAGUGGCGAAGGCGGCUUUCUGGGCCUUACCUGACGCUGAGACGCGAAAGCGUGGGGAGCGAACCGGAUUAGAUACCCCCGUAGUCC
RNAcentral lists this ribosomal RNA (423 nucleotides) under uncultured prokaryote. Its description in RNAcentral is "bacterial SSU rRNA". It matches the Rfam family "Bacterial small subunit ribosomal RNA", at positions 355 to 796 of the family's 1533-position model. The record is from RNAcentral.